Long non-coding RNA from Colossoma macropomum (tambaqui), 278 nucleotides. RefSeq lists it as uncharacterized. NCBI's taxonomy places the organism in Eukaryota, Metazoa, Chordata, Actinopteri, Characiformes, Serrasalmidae. The transcript is spliced from 3 exons. The record is from RefSeq and is a predicted model, not a curated record.
UUCCUGUCUGUCUGAUGGGCAAAUAUGUUUCAUUCUGCGAGUGUAAAACAGUCGGUCAUGGAGAAAAACUUUAACUGUCCUGCUGGUCGGCUCGGCACUGUUAUCAAGCUUUGUGUGAGAUAAGAAACAAAGAAAGUUGGUCAGACUGUCCAGAAGCCUGGUGAGCUGAUAGAAGCUACAGUGGAUCAUUGUGGCCUUGAGGUUACAGCUCAUCUCAAAGAGACCAGAUUUACACUAUAUGGACAAAAGUAUGGGGACACCUGCACAUCACACCUACA